RNAcentral lists this ribosomal RNA (388 nucleotides) under uncultured bacterium. RNAcentral's name for it is "bacterial LSU rRNA". It matches the Rfam family "Bacterial large subunit ribosomal RNA", at positions 115 to 452 of the family's 2925-position model. The record is from RNAcentral.
CGAAUGGGGGAACCCAACUGAUACUUUGUUAUUGUUUAACAUUAUGAUGUGCUCGUACGAGCAAAAUGAACCGGUUCACACUGGGAAAUUUUGUCACGACGUGUACGGAGUGUUCGAUCAAUAAUAGGGUAAAACAGUUAUUAAUUACCUGAAUAUAUAGGGUUUUUAAAGCAAACCCGGGGAACUGAAACAUCUAAGUACCCGGAGGAAAGGAAAUCAAUAGAUACUCCCUUAGUAGCGGCGAGCGAACGGGGACCAGCCGAGCUAUGAAUGUGACUAGAACCAUCUGGAAUGUUGGGCGAUAUGGGUGACAGCCCCGUAUAGGAAGCAUGAUUAGACGUAUUAAGUAGGGCGGAACAGCGAAAAAUUCUGUCUGAACAUCCGGAGG